UACAGAGGUUUCAAGCGUUGUUCGGAUUCAUUGGGCGUAAAGGGUGCGUAGGCGGCAGGCCAAGUCGGGAGUGAAAGCCCGGGGCUCAACCCCGGAAUGUCUUUCGAAACUGGCCAGCUGGAGUGCGGAAGAGGCAACUGGAAUUCCCAGUGUAGCGGUGAAAUGCGUAGAUAUGUGGAGGAACACCGAUGGCGAAGGCAGCCCCCUGGGUCAAGACUGACGCUCAUGCACGAAAGCGUGGGGAGCAAACAGG
RNAcentral lists this ribosomal RNA (253 nucleotides) under uncultured bacterium. RNAcentral's name for it is "partial 16S ribosomal RNA". It matches the Rfam family "Bacterial small subunit ribosomal RNA", at positions 524 to 776 of the family's 1533-position model. The record is from RNAcentral.